Long non-coding RNA from Peromyscus eremicus (cactus mouse), 1236 nucleotides. RefSeq lists it as uncharacterized. Lineage: Eukaryota; Metazoa; Chordata; Mammalia; Rodentia; Cricetidae. The record is from RefSeq and is a predicted model, not a curated record. The transcript is spliced from 3 exons.
GGCGGGGCUUUGUGGUCCCUGAGCGGGGCUUGGUGCGAGGGGCGGGGCCGAGGAUUCUAGAUUGAGGUCCCUGGGCCGGGGUCGGGGUGCCCCAGGUGAGGCUGGGCCAGGGAGGGGGCCGCCGGCUCACACUGCGGUGUGGCUGCGUUCCGAAAAGAUGCGCAGUGUGAAGUCGGCUUCGUCGCCCACGCGGGAGGCGCUGGGGACCACCAGGUAGUGGCCGGGCGGCAGGCGGCAGCGGCGGCUCACGUCGCGGCGGGCGCAGAACACCGAGCGGUCGGCGCGCAGCAGUCCCGGCAAGAGCGCGCGGCUGCGCGGGGAGUCCCAGAGGCCCAGCAGCUGCGGGCGGGGCGCCAUGACCACCACCCACCCGAGCUCCCCACCCACCCCUCUGGUCCUCCCCACGCACACCCAGACUGUCUAGCCAGGCCCUCCCGUGUUCCCCGGCCUUCCAGCGCUGGUCGACCAAGCCCUAGGGUGGGUCUAAGGUCACAUCUGAAACCUACCUCCUCGGGAAUCUGCAGAAAGAAAAAGCCGGACGCUCCUGUGACCCUCUGCCUCUCCAGACCUCAACUUGAUCGUGGCCUCACCUGGAACACGUGGAAGCCCACAGUGAGGCUCCAGCAGCGUCAGCCGGAACUGGGGAUUGGUCCAGAAGGUUUCUAUCAAAAGAGAAGGAGGUGGGGUUCCCAGCCUGUCGAAGCCGCGACCCCAGCUUCCGCCUUAGGGCCCCCAGGCCUCACCAGCACUGGGCUGGCUCCCGCCGGAGUUGAAACCUUUCACCCAGCGGCCUUGGAAGGUGUGCAUGUGCCAGCCUCCGCCAGCGGGGCUGGGGCCGAGCACCUCAGGGCUCAGUGAGCAGAUCUGGACCGUGUUGAAGUGCGUGAGGAAGUCCUGAAGCUCCAUCCUGGACAGCAACGGAGCGUGAGAGAUGCCCGGCCGCCCCAGAGCCCAGCUUGAGGGACCCCAGAAGUGGUCCCCACCACAAAGCUCCCAGUUCCUUAAGUACUGCCAAUUAACCUCCAACCUCCAGAAACUCUGAAGCCUUGAGGCCUUGCCAAGGCAUCCAAGUCCUCACGGAUGCCCCACUUCUGAGCUUAUUUACAAACUCCUCUCGAAUAUCUUCAAAUUAACUUUAGAAAAUCCUCAAGCAGGGCCAGGAAGAUGGCGGAGCCAAUGAAAGCUGUUGCGCAGAAGCCUGGUGUUGUGGGAUAUUAAACUGUGUAAAGGUUGUUA